GAUGAACGCUGGCGGCGUGCCUAAUACAUGCAAGUCGAGCGAACAGACAAGGGGCUUGCUCCUCUGACGUUAGCGGCGGACGGGUGAGUAACACGUGGAUAACCUACCUAUAAGACUGGGAUAACUUCGGGAAACCGGAGCUAAUACCGGAUAAUAUAUUGAACCGCAUGGUUCAAUAGUGAAAGACGGUUUUGCUGUCACUUAUAGAUGGAUCCGCGCCGCAUUAGCUAGUUGGUAAGGUAACGGCUUACCAAGGCAACGAUGCGUAGCCGACCUGAGAGGGUGAUCGGCCACACUGGAACUGAGACACGGUCCAGACUCCUACGGGAGGCAGCAGUAGGGAAUCUUCCGCAAUGGGCGAAAGCCUGACGGAGCAACGCCGCGUGAAUGAUGAAGGUCUUCGGAUCGUAAAACUCUGUUAUUAGGGAAGAACAAAUGUGUAAGUAACUAUGCACGUCUUGACGGUACCUAAUCAGAAAGCCACGGCUAACUACGUG
Molecule: ribosomal RNA, 497 nt
Filed under: uncultured bacterium
Lineage: Bacteria
Description: partial 16S ribosomal RNA
Rfam family: Bacterial small subunit ribosomal RNA
Source: RNAcentral